UAGAUUGAAGCCAGUUGAGUAGGGCAUUUAGCUGUUAACUAAGUAUUUAUAGGUUAAAUCCUAUCAAUCUAG
This 72-nucleotide transfer RNA is filed under the name Spermophilus dauricus (Daurian ground squirrel). RNAcentral's name for it is "tRNA-Asn". It matches the Rfam family "tRNA". From Rfam's summary of the family: Transfer RNA (tRNA) molecules are approximately 80 nucleotides in length. Their secondary structure includes four short double-helical elements and three loops (D, anti-codon, and T loops). Further hydrogen bonds mediate the characteristic L-shaped molecular structure. tRNAs have two regions of fundamental functional importance: the anti-codon, which is responsible for specific mRNA codon recognition, and the 3' end, to which the tRNAs corresponding amino acid is attached (by aminoacyl-tRNA synthetases). tRNAs cope with the degeneracy of the genetic code in two manners: having more than one tRNA (with a specific anti-codon) for a particular amino acid; and 'wobble' base-pairing, i.e. permitting non-standard base-pairing at the 3rd anti-codon position. The record is from RNAcentral. Lineage: Eukaryota; Metazoa; Chordata; Mammalia; Rodentia; Sciuridae.